This 497-nucleotide ribosomal RNA is filed under the name uncultured bacterium. RNAcentral describes it as "partial 16S ribosomal RNA". It matches the Rfam family "Bacterial small subunit ribosomal RNA", at positions 28 to 507 of the family's 1533-position model. The record is from RNAcentral.
GACGAACGCUGGCGGCGUGCCUAAUACAUGCAAGUUGAGCGAUGAAGAUUGGUGCUUGCACCAAUUUGAAGAGCAGCGAACGGGUGAGUAACGCGUGGGGAAUCUGCCUUUGAGCGGGGGGCAACAUUUGGAAACGAAUGCUAAUACCGCAUAACAACUUUAAACAUAAGUUUUAAGUUUGAAAGAUGCAAUUGCAUCACUCAAAGAUGAUCCCGCGUUGUAUUAGCUAGUUGGUGAGGUAAAGGCUCACCAAGGCGAUGAUACAUAGCCGACCUGAGAGGGUGAUCGGCCACAUUGGGACUGAGACACGGCCCAAACUCCUACGGGAGGCAGCAGUAGGGAAUCUUCGGCAAUGGACGAAAGUCUGGCCGAGCAACGCCGCGUGAGUGAAGAAGGUUUUCGGAUCGUAAAACUCUGUUGGUAGAGAAGAACGUUGGUGAGAGUGGAAAGCUCAUCAAGUGACGGUAACUACCCAGAAAGGGACGGCUAACUACGUG